Molecule: ribosomal RNA, 467 nt
Filed under: uncultured bacterium
Lineage: Bacteria
Description: bacterial SSU rRNA
Rfam family: Bacterial small subunit ribosomal RNA
Source: RNAcentral
GACGAACGCUGGCGGCAUGCCUAACACAUGCAAGUCUAGGGGUAGCAAUACCACUGGCGCACGGGUGAGUAACACGUAGGUUAUCUGCCCCCAUCACAGACAUAACCCCGGGAAACCGGGGCUAAUAUCUGAUGAGGUCGCGAGAUCAAAGCUUCGGCGGAUGGGGAUGAGCCUGCGGCUGAUUAGCUAGUUGGUGAGGUAAUGGCUCACCAAGGCGACGAUCAGUAGCUGGUCUGAGAGGACGAACAGCCACACUGGAACUGAGACACGGUCCAGACUCCUACGGGAGGCAGCAGUGAGGAAUAUUGGUCAAUGGGAGCAAUCCUGAACCAGCAAUGCCGCGUGUGGGAUGACAGGGCUUCGCCUUGUAAACCACUGUCGGACGGGACGAAAGGAGGCCUCGGGCCUCUGGGACGGUACCGUCAAAGGAAGGGUCGGCUAGGCUACGUGCCAGCAGCCGCGGUAAU